This 362-nucleotide unclassified non-coding RNA is filed under the name Hevea brasiliensis (rubber tree). The record is from RNAcentral. Lineage: Eukaryota; Viridiplantae; Streptophyta; Magnoliopsida; Malpighiales; Euphorbiaceae.
AGAGAUAUGGAUGUUAUGAAAUUGUAAGUGCUAUUAUCAUAAUAAUAUUUAAUAUCAAUACUGUUUGUGUUGCUUUUCCAUAUUAUUGUUUUCUGGGUUGAAGCUAAUGAGAUCAUGAACAUGUAAUCUUUAGUUUCUUACCUGUCCUCCAUGGUGUUUGAAACUGUAUUAUUGUAUAUUAGCGAUAAUGAUUUGUGCUUUUGAUUUCUUUGUUACCUUUUGAAACUUUAGGCGUCUUUUUCUUUUGCAUUUCACAUCACCUGUUAUUGAUAUUCAAAUUAUUUUGUAGAUGGUAGCCAUUGUAAUUGUGUCUCUACCUGCUGUUUUAUAUUUUGUAGGAUGAUGAGUGACUACACUGUGGA